RNAcentral lists this ribosomal RNA (253 nucleotides) under uncultured bacterium. RNAcentral's name for it is "partial 16S ribosomal RNA". It matches the Rfam family "Bacterial small subunit ribosomal RNA", at positions 524 to 776 of the family's 1533-position model. The record is from RNAcentral.
UACGUAGGCAGCGAGCGUUGUUCGGAGUUACUGGGCGUAAAGAGUGCGUAGGCGGUUUUCUAAGUUUGGUGUGAAAUCUCCCGGCUCAACUGGGAGGGUGCGCCGAAGACUGGAAGGCUUGAGUAUGGGAGAGGUAAGCGGAAUCCCUGGUGUAGCGGUGAAAUGCGUAGAUAUCAGGAGGAAUACCAGAGGCGAAGGCGGCGCACUGGACGGUAACUGACACUCAAUUGCGAAAGCGUGGGUAGCAAACAGG